GGCAGUAGGGCAGCAUGCAGUCGAGCGGAUGACGGGAGCUUGCUCCUUGAUUAGCGGCGGACGGGUGAGUAAUGCCUAGGAAUCUGCCUGGUAGUGGGGGACAACGUUUCGAAAGGAACGCUAAUACCGCAUACGUCCUACGGGAGAAAGCAGGGGACCUUCGGGCCUUGCGCUAUCAGAUGAGCCUAGGUCGGAUUAGCUAGUUGGUGGGGUAAUGGCUCACCAAGGCGACGAUCCGUAACUGGUCUGAGAGGAUGAUCAGUCACACUGGAACUGAGACACGGUCCAGACUCCUACGGGAGGCAGCAGUGGGGAAUAUUGGACAAUGGGCGAAAGCCUGAUCCAGCCAUGCCGCGUGUGUGAAGAAGGUCUUCGGAUUGUAAAGCACUUUAAGUUGGGAGGAAGGGCAGUAAGCUAAUACCUUGCUGUUUUGACGUUACCGACAGAAUAAGCACCGGCUAACUCUGUGCCAGCAGCCGCGGUAAUACAGAGGGUGCAAGCGUUAAUCGGAAUUACUGGGCGUAAAGCGCGCGUAGGUGGUUCGUUAAGUUGGAUGUGAAAGCCCCGGGCUCAACCUGGGAACUGCAUCCAAAACUGGCGAGCUAGAGUACGGUAGAGGGUGGUGGAAUUUCCUGUGUAGCGGUGAAAUGCGUAGAUAUAGGAAGGAACACCAGUGGCGAAGGCGACCACCUGGACUGAUACUGACACUGAGGUGCGAAAGCGUGGGGAGCAAACAGGAUUAGAUACC
Molecule: ribosomal RNA, 748 nt
Filed under: Pseudomonas plecoglossicida
Lineage: Bacteria; Pseudomonadati; Pseudomonadota; Gammaproteobacteria; Pseudomonadales; Pseudomonadaceae
Description: bacterial SSU rRNA
Rfam family: Bacterial small subunit ribosomal RNA
Source: RNAcentral